GAUGGCGGUGAUGACUCCAUGAAAUUCAAGCUCAACAGACCGGAAUGCAGGCUUCUCAUCUCUUGAGAACUUUGCGUGUCGACCACCCCGCUGAACUGAGCCAUC
This is a small nucleolar RNA of Hibiscus syriacus, 105 nucleotides long. RefSeq annotates it as small nucleolar RNA Z107/R87. The record is from RefSeq and is a predicted model, not a curated record. Lineage: Eukaryota; Viridiplantae; Streptophyta; Magnoliopsida; Malvales; Malvaceae. The transcript has a single exon.